This 380-nucleotide ribosomal RNA is filed under the name uncultured eukaryote. RNAcentral describes it as "partial 18S ribosomal RNA". It matches the Rfam family "Eukaryotic small subunit ribosomal RNA", at positions 592 to 976 of the family's 1831-position model. The record is from RNAcentral.
CAAUAGCGUAUAUUAAAGUUGUUGCGGUUAAAAAGCUCGUAGUUGGAUUUCUGCCGAGGACGACCGGUCCGCCCUCUGGGUGUGUAUCUGGUUUGGCCUGGGCAUCUUCUUGGAGAACGUAGCUGCACUUGACUGUGUGGUGCGGUGUCCAGGACUUUUACUUUGAGGAAAUUAGAGUGUUUCAAGCAGGCACACGCCUUGAAUACAUUAGCAUGGAAUAAUAAGAUAGGACCUCGGUUCUAUUUUGUUGGUUUCUAGAGCUGAGGUAAUGAUUAAUAGGGAUAGUUGGGGGCAUUCGUAUUUAACUGUCAGAGGUGAAAUUCUUGGAUUUGUUAAAGACGCACUACUGCGAAAGCAUUUGCCAAGGAUGUUUUCAUUGA